This 71-nucleotide transfer RNA is filed under the name Camelus bactrianus (Bactrian camel). It matches the Rfam family "tRNA". Rfam says of the family: Transfer RNA (tRNA) molecules are approximately 80 nucleotides in length. Their secondary structure includes four short double-helical elements and three loops (D, anti-codon, and T loops). Lineage: Eukaryota; Metazoa; Chordata; Mammalia; Artiodactyla; Camelidae. RNAcentral also lists the same sequence under 2 other names. The record is from Rfam by way of RNAcentral.
GAGGGUGUUGCUCACUGGGAGAGUGUGUGCCUAGCAUACACAAGAUCUGGGUUCAAUCCCCAGUACUUCCA